GGUAAUGCCGGUGCGGCGGCCGCGGGAAUACGGAGGGGGGAAGCGGUAAUCGGAAGAACUGGGCGGAAAGGGGGUGGAGGCGGGGGGAUAAGGCAGAAGGGAAAUCCAAGAGAUGAAAUAUUGAACGUCGUUUGAAACUGGAUACCGAGAAUGUGGGAGAGGCAGAUGGAAGUUCUGGUGUAGGGGGAAAAUCCGUAGAGAUCAGAAGGAAUACCGAUUGCGAAGGCGAUCUGCUGGAACAUUAUUGACGCUGAGACGCGAAAGCGUGGGGAGCAAACAGGAUUAGAUACCCGAGUAGUC
This 300-nucleotide ribosomal RNA is filed under the name uncultured Prevotella sp. RNAcentral's name for it is "bacterial SSU rRNA". It matches the Rfam family "Bacterial small subunit ribosomal RNA", at positions 496 to 795 of the family's 1533-position model. The record is from RNAcentral. Lineage: Bacteria; Pseudomonadati; Bacteroidota; Bacteroidia; Bacteroidales; Prevotellaceae.